ACGAAUAUCUCUGGAAUGAGGAAGACCUUCAUCUCCGAUCUGCAUGAGACCUUGGUGAGAUCUAUAUACGACUUUUUGGGCGUUUAUUCUGUGUCGGCGCGAGAUUUUGUCCAUUCACUAUGGUCGCUUGUUCAGUAUCGGCAUACCGCAGCCACUGAUGGCACUACUUUUUUCGCUGUCACCGGUCGAGAUACCAGCGUUCCAGGCUAUGAUACAGUUGUUGGGCCUGCUGAAUUAUACUAUCCGUUAAAGGUAGUGAUUGAAAAUGAUUUAUCGCUACUUAGCUGGAUUCGAAAGGUUUCCAAAAUUGACCAACAGGCUUCGCAGAAUGCCUACAUAGGAUAUGACAAAAUCCAGGACCAAAUCUUACCUCUAAAAGCGCAAGUGUGUAUAACUGUAUCCGACAGUCUUGAUAUUAUUGAGGAAGGCGACUGUGAUAUUCGCUUCCCUUUAACAAUCAAUGUUGAUUUUGAGAGACAUUUGGUCAAUAUGCAAUAUUAUUCUGAGACAUCAGAAGAUCACGAUUUACAGGUUAUUUUCAACCAUUUUAUCGCUCUAGUGGAAGAGGCUAUUCGAGACCCUAAGACCAUUGUGUCGGGCAUUGACAUUGUACCAAAGGAGGAAAAGGAGUUCCUAUUACGGUGCAGCGAGCCCGUUACCCUGCCCGCCACCGGCCUCAUCCAUGAACUCUUUGAGCGUCAAGCCGAAUUGAAUCCGCAACACGAAUGCCUAAACUUCGAAGGCCAAAUGGACUUUACUUAUGGGGAGCUCAAUAAAUUAUCCAAUCAAGUUGCUCGCCAGCUUGGUUGUGGUCGGGGUGAUUACGUACCCGUUUGCAUGGACCGUUCACCUGCAUUGAUCGUCUCUAUAUUGGCCAUCCUAAAAACGGGGGCCGCCUACGUUAUUCUGGACCCUGAAAGCCCCGUCGAACGGAAUUCCUUCAUUGUCACUGACGUUCAGGCACCGUUUGUUAUAAC
RNAcentral lists this small RNA (977 nucleotides) under Histoplasma capsulatum. RNAcentral's name for it is "hypothetical RNA". The record is from RNAcentral. Lineage: Eukaryota; Fungi; Ascomycota; Eurotiomycetes; Onygenales; Ajellomycetaceae. RNAcentral also lists the same sequence under 1 other name.